GACGAACGCUGGCGGCGUGCUUAACACAUGCAAGUCGAACGAUGAAGCUGGAGCUUGCUCCGGUGGAUUAGUGGCGAACGGGUGAGUAACACGUGAGCAAUCUGCCCUUGACUCUGGGAUAACUGCGGGAAACUGUAGCUAAUACCGGAUAUUUUUCCCUGGUGGGCAUCCACUGGGGAAGAAGAAUUUCGGUCAAGGAUGAGCUCGCGGCCUAUCAGCUAGUUGGUGAGGUAAUGGCUCACCAAGGCGACGACGGGUAGCCGGCCUGAGAGGGUGACCGGCCACACUGGGACUGAGACACGGCCCAGACUCCUACGGGAGGCAGCAGUGGGGAAUAUUGGGCAAUGGACGCAAGUCUGAUCCAGCCAUUCCGCGUGCAGGAUGAAGGCCCUCGGGUUGUAAACUGCUUUUGUACGGAACGAAAAGGUUUCUAUUAAUACUAGAGCUCAUGACGGUACCGUAAGAAUAAGCACCGGCUAACUACGUGCCAGCAG
This 494-nucleotide ribosomal RNA is filed under the name uncultured bacterium. RNAcentral's name for it is "bacterial SSU rRNA". It matches the Rfam family "Bacterial small subunit ribosomal RNA", at positions 28 to 514 of the family's 1533-position model. The record is from RNAcentral.